GCGCCUGUGGCGGAAUUGGCAGACGCGCCAGACUUAGGAUCUGGUGUCCCCGACGUGAAGGUUCAAGUCCUUUCAGGCGCACCA
Molecule: transfer RNA, 84 nt
Filed under: Clostridiales bacterium
Lineage: Bacteria; Bacillati; Bacillota; Clostridia; Eubacteriales
Also listed under: 2 other names
Description: tRNA-Leu
Rfam family: tRNA
About the family: Transfer RNA (tRNA) molecules are approximately 80 nucleotides in length.
Source: RNAcentral